Molecule: long non-coding RNA, 1156 nt
Filed under: Bemisia tabaci
Lineage: Eukaryota; Metazoa; Arthropoda; Insecta; Hemiptera; Aleyrodidae
Description: lncRNA ENSASIAIIG004584
Source: RNAcentral
AUAAUACUCCCAAUAUGUCGUUUCUCCUUGGUACAGUAGAGAUACUCCCUGCAUGAGCCUACUCUGUUUAAACCAAUUAAUUAUUGUUGUUGCUCUGUUCCACGGGGACUUGCUAAGCGACCCCGAAAGCAGUGCGAGUGCUCCCAUUUCCCAGAAUUAGUGCCGAAUUGCGGUACUUUUGAGAUUUUCCUGAAUUUUUCCCGGAACUUUCGACAUUCCCGAAAUGUUCCGAAUCUUUUGCGGAACUUCCUCGGAACUUUUGAAAAAAUCCAAGAAGAAUCCCGGAACUUUUGACGGUCAUUGAGUGGGAGAAAUUGGAACAAAAAAGUUCCGAAUCCCGGAACUUUUGACGGACGUGGAAUGGGAGCCCUGCCUGAGAAAGCGCGAAAUGUCCUCUGGAGGCUCAACCGCGUAGUGACCAGGGGGCAGCCCCCCUCUUACAAUUAGUUACUGAGUAACGAGGAUUUAAGUUAUCAGACCAUGUCCAACCUUCCCUAGAGACGACUCGCUCCACUUUGCGCCGUCGGCCGUAAAAAUCGCGAGGAAUUGGAAAUCGCGGUUUAUGUGCGCCGUUAAUGUCGUUCGCACCGAGUUUCGGAGCCAGGCGAGGAGGAGCUCAGUCUUCCUGUGCCCUUGCCGUAGCAGAACCUCUUCGGGGAUCCGGCCCGGAAUCCGUGCGGUAAAAUGCACCCCUUGACCAAGUACGCCCUCUGUGUCUGCGUCCUCACGACAUCGGUAUUUGCUUUUAAAGACGGAGGCCCCGAAGGAGUCGCAGAUGAAGAAGACGUCGCUAGAAAAACCUCAGAAAUUGAUGAGGGUAACAGAGAGGAUGAAAGCACUUUCGGAUGCAUCAGAUGUAUCAUUGGAUGUAUGAUGAUGGGAGACUCAUUCUCAAAGUGCAAAUCUCAAGUAUGCAAGCCCAAAUGCAAGAGGGACUAUACUGAGCAAUGCGUCGAUUGCGUCAGAAGUUUUUGCUCCUACAACGAUAGAGGCUUCUUAGACUUCCAAGAUUGCCCAUACUGCUUAGGGGUGUGCGGCCAAAUGCUCAUGCAGUGAACAUUUGCAAUUUUUAAUGGACAGUUGAGAAAAUUUCUGAUGUAACAUAUUCGUUGUAAUAAUGCUCCUGUUAAUGUCGUCAUCUGCCUCACGGAAGAAC